Molecule: transfer RNA, 73 nt
Filed under: bacterium
Lineage: Bacteria
Also listed under: 1 other name
Description: tRNA-Glu
Rfam family: tRNA
About the family: Transfer RNA (tRNA) molecules are approximately 80 nucleotides in length. Their secondary structure includes four short double-helical elements and three loops (D, anti-codon, and T loops). Further hydrogen bonds mediate the characteristic L-shaped molecular structure. tRNAs have two regions of fundamental functional importance: the anti-codon, which is responsible for specific mRNA codon recognition, and the 3' end, to which the tRNAs corresponding amino acid is attached (by aminoacyl-tRNA synthetases). tRNAs cope with the degeneracy of the genetic code in two manners: having more than one tRNA (with a specific anti-codon) for a particular amino acid; and 'wobble' base-pairing, i.e. permitting non-standard base-pairing at the 3rd anti-codon position.
Source: RNAcentral
GGCCCCAUCAUCUAGUGGCCUAGGAUUCCGGCUUUUCAUGCCGGCAACCGGAGUUCGAGUCUCCGUGGGGUCA